GCUCAAUGAAAUAAUUUAAAUAGCUGCAGUAUAAAUAACUGUACAAAGGUAGCAUAAUAAAUAGCUUUUUAAUUAAAAGCUGGAAUGAAAGAUUUAAUGAAAAAAAAACUUUAUUAAAUUAAAAUAUUAAAAUUUAUAUUUAGAUAAAAAAUUCUAAAUUAUUUAAAUAGACAAAAAGACCCUAUAAAAUUUUUAAAAAUUUAAAAUAAAACUAAAUUUUUUUAGUUGGGGAAAUUUUAAAAUUUAAUUAAUUUUUUUUAUUUUAAACAAAAAUUAUUGAUUAUUCUAACUUUUUUAAAAUAUUAAAAUAAAUUACUUUAGGGAUAACAGUAUAAUUUUUUUUUAUAGAUCUUAUAUAUAAAAAAGUUUAUAACCUCGAUGUUGAAUUAAGAUAAAAUUUAAAUGAAAAAAUUUAUAUUUUAAGUCUGUUCGACU
RNAcentral lists this ribosomal RNA (435 nucleotides) under Ascogaster reticulatus. Its description in RNAcentral is "partial 16S ribosomal RNA". The record is from RNAcentral. Lineage: Eukaryota; Metazoa; Arthropoda; Insecta; Hymenoptera; Braconidae.